Podarcis lilfordi (Lilford's wall lizard) is the source of this 74-nucleotide non-coding RNA. Lineage: Eukaryota; Metazoa; Chordata; Lepidosauria; Squamata; Lacertidae. The record is from the annotation of a GenBank genome assembly.
GCUGGGGUAGCUCAAUUGGUAGAGCAUGAGACUCCUUAAUCUCAGGUUUGUGGGUUUGAGCCCCACAUUGGGCC